Molecule: ribosomal RNA, 500 nt
Filed under: uncultured bacterium
Lineage: Bacteria
Description: partial 16S ribosomal RNA
Rfam family: Bacterial small subunit ribosomal RNA
Source: RNAcentral
AUUGAACGCUGGCGGCAUGCCUUACACAUGCAAGUCGAACGGCAGCACGGGGGCAACCCUGGUGGCGAGUGGCGAACGGGUGAGUAAUGCAUCGGAACGUGCCCAGUAGUGGGGGAUAACCAGUCGAAAGACUGGCUAAUACCGCAUACGACCUACGGGUGAAAGCGGGGGACCGUAAGGCCUCGCGCUAUUGGAGCGGCCGAUGUCUGAUUAGCUAGUUGGCGGGGUAAGAGCCCACCAAGGCGACGAUCAGUAGCUGGUCUGAGAGGACGACCAGCCACACUGGGACUGAGACACGGCCCAGACUCCUACGGGAGGCAGCAGUGGGGAAUUUUGGACAAUGGGCGCAAGCCUGAUCCAGCCAUGCCGCGUGCGGGAAGAAGGCCUUCGGGUUGUAAACCGCUUUUGGCAGGAACGAAACGGCGCAAGCCAAUACCUUGCGCUAAUGACGGUACCUGCAGAAUAAGCACCGGCUAACUACGUGCCAGCAGCCGCGGUAA